GGCCCGGUAGCUCAGAUGCAUAGAGCGGCGCACUCCUAAGGCGAAGGUCGCAGGUUGGACUCCUGCCCGGGUCACCA
This 77-nucleotide transfer RNA is filed under the name Terriglobus roseus DSM 18391. Its description in RNAcentral is "tRNA-Arg (CCT) (tRNA-Arg-CCT-1-1)". It matches the Rfam family "tRNA". Rfam says of the family: Transfer RNA (tRNA) molecules are approximately 80 nucleotides in length. Their secondary structure includes four short double-helical elements and three loops (D, anti-codon, and T loops). Lineage: Bacteria; Pseudomonadati; Acidobacteriota; Terriglobia; Terriglobales; Acidobacteriaceae. The record is from RNAcentral. RNAcentral also lists the same sequence under 1 other name.